This is a non-coding RNA of Phascolarctos cinereus (koala), 886 nucleotides long. The record is from RefSeq and is a predicted model, not a curated record. Lineage: Eukaryota; Metazoa; Chordata; Mammalia; Diprotodontia; Phascolarctidae.
UUCAACCAGCAUUUAUUAACCACUUAUAGUGUAUUCAAUAUUUGACUGGGGAGUGGAGUGGGAGGGCCUAGAGAAAAAGACUGCAAUAAAAUGUAGUGAAUUCAAUCUUUGCCCUCAGGGGAAUUCAAGCAAGGUAAAGCAAAAUAGAACAAAAAAUAAGAAAGGUAGAAUUGCAAAUGUCUUAGAGCUGGAAGGGAUUUCAGUGAACUCCCUCAUUUUAUGUGUGCUAUAAAUUCAUCUAGCUGAGAAAGCUAAACCCUAGAGAGAAGUGACUUGCUCAGGGUCACGCUGUGUGAAUUUCUAGAGUGGCUCAUUCCUCUUCUAAAGUCCUUCUCUGAUGCCUUAGUAUGGUCUGGGGGUCAAACUGGGCUCUUGAAGACUUGCCAGUGGAGUGCCGGCUGGUCCAGCAGGCCACACCAAACUAGAAAGGCUAAUAAGAAUUAAGGUGCAGUGAUGGACCAUAAAUUUGCCAACUGAAAACUUAACUAGUGAAGUUCAGAGUGGUGUCUCAUUGCCAAAAAGAUGGCCAGAGGGUGACAAAUUCCGCAGUUGAUGCAGCUUGCAGAGGCAAUUUGUGAAGACGUGGAUGGAGCAGCUAUAUCAGUUGAAUCAUUUGAGAUAACUGGGGCCGAUUUGCCCAAGGUCAUAUUGCGAGUUUGUGGCUGAGACAGUAAUGGUGAAGUGGAAAGCUUAACUUUGGAAUCAGAAGACCUAACUUCUAAUCCUGACUGCCACUCCUGAUCCACAGGGCCUUGGGAACAAAUGGUGGUAGACACAUAAUAGGCCUCAAGAAACACCUGGUUUGGAGCAGCGGAGUGGUGCAGUGGAUAGAACAUAAGCCCUGGAUUCAGGAGGACCUGAGUUCAAAUCCGGUCUCAGACACAUA